ACAAGCUCGAGGCUUGGCCCACACAGCCUGCAGAACUAGGGAGCGCGGAAGACACCAUCUCACGGACACAGAAGGGGCCCUGGGCCCAGAGAAGACCUUCGCACACUGCAAGAGUAAUGAAAGCCUGAAGCAUCCAGGGCCUCCCUGGAGCAGCAGAGGGGAGCUCAGACGCCGCGAUGAGAUUCUGGGAAGUGAAAUGGGCUCAAGAUCUCGACCACUAGAGAGCUCUCCAAGCAUGCCCUACCAGGACCUUUGUCACUGGUGAACUGUUUCCUCCCCAAGAUUCUUUCCAGCUGAGCUAAGAGAUUUCUGGAGCCUCUCGCCAUGGUCUCUCUGUGAAGCUGGCGAGGUUCUCUGAUGAUGUUCAGUGGCUAUGGUGGAAUGUGCAGGUGAAAGUAACACUUUCACGGCUACAGAUCUUCCUUAGCAGAGCUGUGGAGUGUGACAAUGGUGUUUGUGUCCAAACUAUCAAACGCCAUUAUCACACUAAAUAGCUACUGUUAGGCAAUCCUUCCGCUCACUAAAUGCCUUGGCAUCUGUUUGGUAUGGGCAAGAAGGUUCAUCUUAUAGCAGUGCUCCUGGUCCUGGGUAAUUACUGAGGACAUUCUGGUCCUUUAGUGCUCAUAUCCAAUAUGUCAUCUGAACGUUGCUUCUCACACUCUUGUUAAAUAACUUAGCUGAUGAUGAAUGUUCUUGUUUUCCUGAGUCAAUAAAAAGAUUGCAGUGUUCCCCAAGCAACCGGCACAAGGCUAGGCACAUGGUAAUUAAUUGUUCAACCUAUGCUCAAGCUGAAGGGAAUAGUUAGGAAAGUGUUAGUUGUGGAAAACUAAAACCAGAUGCAAUCUAGGUUUUGCAAAUCAUGUGCUUAUAGGUAAAAAGUUAUGGUACGUGGGUCUUCUACUUUUCAUCAUAAAAAGACAACUUUCUAAUAAACGUAUACAUGGCCUAAGGGACCUUC
This 958-nucleotide long non-coding RNA is filed under the name Sus scrofa (pig). RNAcentral's name for it is "lncRNA (ENSSSCG00040015958.1)". The stretch from base 428 to 500 matches the Rfam family "mir-122 microRNA precursor family". Lineage: Eukaryota; Metazoa; Chordata; Mammalia; Artiodactyla; Suidae. The record is from RNAcentral.